UUUCGAUCACUGCUUCAGUCUUGUUACUAGAUAAUGGUCUAUUCAGGUUGUCAAUUUCUUUCUGAUUCAGUUUUGGACAUUUAUAGGUUUCCAGGAAUGCUUCAAGUU
Molecule: long non-coding RNA, 108 nt
Organism: Mustela erminea (ermine)
Lineage: Eukaryota; Metazoa; Chordata; Mammalia; Carnivora; Mustelidae
Exons: 3
Source: RefSeq, a predicted model, not a curated record